UACCUGGUUGAUCCUGCCAGUAGUCAUAUGCUCGUCUCAAAGAUUAAGCCAUGCAUGUCUAAGAUACAGCCCUUUAGUAUCAAAGGCGAGACCGCGAACGGCUCAUUAAAUCAGCUGUAGUCUACUGGAUCUUGCUGUUAAAUAAAUAAAUAAUGUCCCUACUUGGAUAACUGUGGUAAUUCUAGAGCUAAUACAUGCAUCAAGGCUCUGACCCUUGUCGUUUAGCAGCGGCUCUCAUUGUAGAGUAGCAGCGAACGUCGUUAAUGGGAAUGAGCGCAGUUAUUAGACCACACAGACCAACGGGAGUAGUAGCAACUGUGUUAACUCACUUUGCCACUCUCCCAUACUUCUCGCAGUUAUGCGAGGAACUGGUGGUGACUCUGGAUAACCUAGUGCCGAGCGUAUGGCCUUUUGAGCCGUCGCUGUAUCCUUCGAGUGUCUGCCUUAUCAGCUUUCGUCUGUAGUUUAAAUGACUACAGUGGCUGUCACGGGUGACGGGGAAUCAGGGUUCGAUUCCGGAGAGGGAGCCUGAGAAACGGCUACCACAUCUAAGGAAGGCAGCAGGCGCGCAAAUUACCCACUCCCAGCACGGGGAGGUAGUGACGAAAGAUAACGGUGUGUGACUUAUGGAGGUGUCCGCACCGGAAUGAGUACACUCUAAAUCCUUCAACGAGGAUCCAUUGGAGGGCAAGUCUGGUGCCAGCAGCCGCGGUAAUUCCAGCUCCAAUAGCGUAUAUUAAAGUUGCUGCAGUUAAAAAGCUCGUAGUUGAACCUCGGUACCUAAGGGGUAAGCGCCAUCGUUCCUGUUCUCUCGAAUGGAAGAGUAGAGGCGGUCGGUGGCGUCCCCUUGGGGCCCCAAUGGCGGGCUAGCCCUUUAUAAGUGGUUGGAGCGCGAGGUGCCCUUUGUCGGGUGUCUCGUGCGACCCGCCGGUUCACCUUGAAGAAACUGGAGUGCUCAGAGCAGGCGCGGCCCUUGGGGCCGAAACGCCUGCACAACAUCGCAUGGAAUGAUUGAACAAGACCUCGGCUCAAUCUCUGUUGGUCUGACGAGGCUGAGGUAAUGAUUAACAGGAACGGACGGGGGCAUCCGUACUGCGACGCUAGAGGUGAAAUUCUUGGACCGUCGCAGGACGAACAAAAGCGAAAGCAUUUGCCAAGAACGCUUUCAUUAAUCAAGAACGAAAGUCAGAGGAUCGAAGGCGAUCAGAUACCGCCCUAGUUCUGACCGUAAACUAUAUGAACCAGCGAUCCGCUGAACGCCCAGCACGACGGCUCAGCGGGAAGUCUCCGGGAAACCAGAGUCUUUGCAUUCUGGGGAGAUUAUGUUUGCAAAUACGAAAUUUGAAGGAAUUGACGGAAGGGCACCACCAGGAGUGGAGCCUGCGGCUUAAUUUGACUCAACACGGGGAACCUCACCGGGCCCGGACACCGGAAGGAUUGACAGAUUGAGAGCUCUUUCUUCGAAUCGGUGGGUGGUGGUGCAUGGCCGUUCUUAGUUGGUGGAGCGAUCUGUCUGGUUAAUUCCGAUAACGAACGAGACUCCAACCUGCUAACUAGACGGCGGACACGUAAACGGCUGGUGAAGGGUACGGGGCAAUUGUGCGUUCGGUCGUGGACUUUGUGGAUAUGGUUUUGGCGCUCCUUUCUGAGGAGUCUGCUGGGCCUUGAAGCUUAGUUUCGCUUCCGUUUUCGUCUUUUGUCUGCCGCCCUUUGCCCACCUGCUUGACGGGUGCUCAUUGGGGCUGUUGGCUUAGUCGCGAGUGCUGCUCUUGUAGUAGAACUAACGACGGCCUUUAGUUUCCAGGAGAGCUGGUCCGUCGAAUUGUAUAGUCUUCUUAGAGGAAUCAGUGGCUUCUAGCCAACGAGAUGGAGCAAUAACAGGUCUGUGAUGCCCUUAGAUGUUCCGGGCCGCACGCGCGCUACAAUGGAGGGAUCAGCGGGAUUACCGUCUCCGAGAGGAGUGGGUGAACCGUUGAAACCCCUUCGUGGUUGGGAUCGGGGCAUGCAAGUGCCCGUGAACGAGGAAUUCCCAGUAGCCGCGAGUCAUCAGCUUGCGACGAUUACGUCCCUGCCCUUUGUACACACCGCCCGUCGCUACUACCGAUCGAACGAUAGGGUGAGGGCUUCGGACCGUUGUCUCCCUCUCCGCUACUUUACUUUUUAAGUUUUGUAGCGCGGGAGAAGAUGAGAAGUUGUCCGAACUCGAUCGUUUAGAGGAAGUAAAAGUCGUAACAAGGUUUCCGUAGUGAACCU
RNAcentral lists this ribosomal RNA (2253 nucleotides) under Tethysbaena scabra. RNAcentral's name for it is "bacterial SSU rRNA". It matches the Rfam family "Eukaryotic small subunit ribosomal RNA". The record is from RNAcentral. Lineage: Eukaryota; Metazoa; Arthropoda; Malacostraca; Thermosbaenacea; Monodellidae.